GAUGAACGCUAGCGGCAGGCCUAAUACAUGCAAGUCGAGGGGCAGCACAGGUAGCAAUACUGGGUGGCGACCGGCGCACGGGUGCGUAACACGUAUACAAUCUGCCCAUAUCAGGAGAAUAGCCCGGAGAAAUUCGGAUUAAUGCUCCAUAACAUAAUGAACUGGCAUCAGUUUAUUAUUAAAGUUCCGACGGAUAUGGAUGAGUAUGCGGAUGAUUAGCUAGUUGGUAGUGUAAUGGACUACCAAGGCUACGAUCAAUAGGGGUACUGA
Molecule: ribosomal RNA, 270 nt
Filed under: uncultured bacterium
Lineage: Bacteria
Description: partial 16S ribosomal RNA
Rfam family: Bacterial small subunit ribosomal RNA
Source: RNAcentral